This 207-nucleotide ribosomal RNA is filed under the name uncultured bacterium. RNAcentral's name for it is "partial 16S ribosomal RNA". It matches the Rfam family "Bacterial small subunit ribosomal RNA", at positions 568 to 774 of the family's 1533-position model. The record is from RNAcentral.
CACGUAGGCGGACUGAACAGUCAGAGGUGAAAUCCCAGGGCUCAACCUUGGAACUGCCUUUGAAACUAUCAGUCUGGAGUUCGAGAGAGGUGAGUGGAAUUCCGGGUGUAGAGGUGAAAUUCGUAGAUAUUCGGAGGAACACCAGUGGCGAAGGCGGCUCACUGGCUCGAUACUGACGCUGAGGUGCGAAAGCGUGGGGAGCAAACA